Molecule: ribosomal RNA, 305 nt
Filed under: uncultured bacterium
Lineage: Bacteria
Description: bacterial SSU rRNA
Rfam family: Bacterial small subunit ribosomal RNA
Source: RNAcentral
UUCCUACGGGACGCAGCAGUGGGGAAUAUUGGGCAAUGGGCGCAAGCCUGACCCAGCAACGCCGCGUGAAGGAAGAAGGCUUUCGGGUUGUAAACUUCUUUUCUCAGGGACGAAGAAAGUGACGGUACCUGAGGAAUAAGCCACGGCUAACUACGUGCCAGCAGCCGCGGUAAUACGUAGGGAGCGAGCGUUAUCCGGAAUUAUUGGGUGUAAAGGGUGCGUAGACGGGAACUUAAGUUAGUUGUGAAAUCCCUUAGCUCAACUAAGGAAUGGCAACUGAAACUGGGUUUCUUGAGUGCAGGAGG